GUUUCAAAUGGUGAAGUUGAAAUCAUCCCUUCUUAAAAUUUACGGAAGUUAUCACAAGUUGGUCGACCUAUAUGGAAUAUCAGUUUCACAGAUGAUAACAGAUAUGUUCCUUAUGUGUCGUAACUACAAUCCUGUUCCCUUUUCACAAAUGUGACCUACCGAAUUAGACUAUUUAGCGGAUUUGUAAUAACAUGACAGGUGCCCUUCCAGAGCACC
This 216-nucleotide long non-coding RNA is filed under the name Mytilus galloprovincialis (Mediterranean mussel). The record is from RNAcentral. Lineage: Eukaryota; Metazoa; Mollusca; Bivalvia; Mytilida; Mytilidae.